This 499-nucleotide ribosomal RNA is filed under the name uncultured bacterium. RNAcentral describes it as "bacterial SSU rRNA". It matches the Rfam family "Bacterial small subunit ribosomal RNA", at positions 30 to 527 of the family's 1533-position model. The record is from RNAcentral.
AUUGAACGCUGGCGGCAUGCCUUACACAUGCAAGUCGAACGGUAACAGGUCUUCGGAUGCUGACGAGUGGCGAACGGGUGAGUAAUACAUCGGAACGUGCCCGAUCGUGGGGGAUAACGGAGCGAAAGCUUUGCUAAUACCGCGAUACGAUCUACGGAUGAAAGCAGGGGACCGCAAGGCCUUGCGCGGACGGAGCGGCCGAUGGCAGAUUAGGUAGUUGGUGGGAUAAAAGCUUACCAAGCCGACGAUCUGUAGCUGGUCUGAGAGGACGACCAGCCACACUGGGACUGAGACACGGCCCAGACUCCUACGGGAGGCAGCAGUGGGGAAUUUUGGACAAUGGGCGCAAGCCUGAUCCAGCCAUGCCGCGUGCAGGAUGAAGGCCUUCGGUUGUAACUGCUUUGUUACGGAACGAAGGACUCUUCUAAUAAAGAAGGUCCGAUGACGGUACCGUAAGAAUAAGACACCGGCUAACUACGUGCAGCAGCCGCGGUAAACG